GAUGAACGCUGGCGGUGUGCUUAACACAUGCAAGUCGAGCGGAAAGGCCACUUCGGUGGUACUCGAGCGGCGAACGGGUGAGUAACACGUGAGUAAUCUGCCCCUGGCUUUGGGAUAGCCACCGGAAACGGUGAUUAAUACCGGAUACGACCACUUCUCGCAUGGGAUGGUGGUGGAAAGUUUUUUCGGCCAGGGAUGUGCUCGCGGCCUAUCAGCUUGAUGGUGAGGUAAUGGCUCACCAUGGCUUCGACGGGUAGCCGGCCUGAGAGGGUGACCGGUCACACUGGGACUGAGACACGGCCCAGACUCCUACGGGAGGCAGCAGUGGGGAAUAUUGGACAAUGGGCGGAAGCCUGAUCCAGCAACGCCGCGUGAGGGAUGACGGCCUUUGGGUUGUAAACCUCUUUCAGCAGGGACGAAGCGCAAGUGACGGUACCUGCAGAAGAAGCACCGGCCAACUACGUGCCAGCCGCCGCCGUAA
This 481-nucleotide ribosomal RNA is filed under the name uncultured bacterium. RNAcentral's name for it is "partial 16S ribosomal RNA". It matches the Rfam family "Bacterial small subunit ribosomal RNA", at positions 28 to 523 of the family's 1533-position model. The record is from RNAcentral.